UGCGCGCGCACGUGCCUCUUCUUUCCAAG
Molecule: non-coding RNA, 29 nt
Filed under: Mus musculus (house mouse)
Lineage: Eukaryota; Metazoa; Chordata; Mammalia; Rodentia; Muridae
Source: RNAcentral